AAAUUGAAGAGUUUGAUCAUGGCUCAGAUUGAACGCUGGCGGCAGGCCUAACACAUGCAAGUCGAACGGUAGCACAGAGAGCUUGCUCUCGGGUGACGAGUGGCGGACGGGUGAGUAAUGUCUGGGAAACUGCCUGAUGGAGGGGGAUAACUACUGGAAACGGUAGCUAAU
RNAcentral lists this ribosomal RNA (171 nucleotides) under Enterobacter sichuanensis. RNAcentral's name for it is "partial 16S ribosomal RNA". It matches the Rfam family "Bacterial small subunit ribosomal RNA", at positions 1 to 167 of the family's 1533-position model. Lineage: Bacteria; Pseudomonadati; Pseudomonadota; Gammaproteobacteria; Enterobacterales; Enterobacteriaceae. The record is from RNAcentral.